Molecule: long non-coding RNA, 464 nt
Organism: Pimephales promelas (fathead minnow)
Lineage: Eukaryota; Metazoa; Chordata; Actinopteri; Cypriniformes; Leuciscidae
Source: RefSeq, a predicted model, not a curated record
CCGAGCCAAAUAUCUGGAGACCACAAUACCAGAGACUUGAAGGAUUAAUAACACGACAGACUGCACGUUCAGCCGUGUUUUGUUUCCUGGAUCGUUUUCCUCAGGAAGCGGUUUAUGAAGAGCAGGAGCAGAUCUUCAUCAUCUGGUUAUAAGGAUUGAUAACAGGACUGCACGUUCAGCCGUGUUUUGUUUUCCUGGAUCGUUUUCAUCGGGAAGCGGUUUAUGAAGAGCAGGAGCAGACCUUCAUCAUCUCUGGACUCCAUCAGGGAUACGAAUGUUGGAUCAGCGUAAAUGAUCUCUCCAUCACCAGUCUCAACUGUUUCAUCUAUAAUAAUAGAUGCAUUAAAUCAACUAAAUAAAAUCCCUAGCAGAGCAUGUAUCAGAUGCAGAACAUCACGACGACGACUGUAAAUACAAUCACCAGAGAUCCAGCAGAGAUCAACACUAUCAGAGACACUGGCGAG